UCUUUCAGAGUUGAUUCCUUCACUUUCACGUUACGUCCGGAACGUGAACUGGCCAUUUUAGACCGUGGAUAAGAAAGAAUAUAAUAUUAUUAAUGAUGCAUCGUAAUAGUGAUAAUAAAGAAUUAUCGCACUAAAAGAUAUGAUUGUUUUAUUCUCAAGUGAAUAUACACCAUAUUUUUAGAGAAUUCUUUAAUAAUCCUAUUUGACUCGUAACGUUCUAUCCCAUUUACUAGGUUCCAAUCUAAGGUCAAAGCUUUUGCUCUGAUACCAACUGUGGUGACCCUGCAUACCACUGCAUGUUGUAUUAUACCAGUCGUUGAUAUAACAUUCACGGAGUACCAAUCCGCAAAUGUUACAUCCCUCAGAUUAGUACAACAGAACAUAGCUGUUCCAUAACUCAUUCAUACAUUAUUACAAACCUAAUAUAUCAUCAUCUUGGAGCUCCUCCUGGGUCUAGAGAGGAAUACUCCUGGGUUCGAGUUGAACCCGACUUAGCUUACAAUAUAUAAGUCUCAUACAUUUAUUCUCCUCGAGCAGCUAAGUACUAAGUGUUAAUAUUGCUCGGUUACUACUACUAGUAGGGUACUCUAUGCUUGUUCUCCUUCGGAACCCUCCCCGGCUCCGUAGACGAUGAGGUAGUCCACUCCCUCUACACCUCCGGAGAGGUCUGGCUCUUCAUAGCAGAUCCCAUCUGCUCCUUCUUGGCCAUCGGUGUCCUCCUCAAGUCGAUUCAGACAAUCUAAGCAGGGGAUUUAAGAGUGGUAUGAGUACGAGCGUACUCAACAAGUUCAUAUUAGGAAAGAGGUGUUUAAUGCACUAGCUACGAUACUAGACCAGAAAGUCUAAUACCAAUGCAUUUUUUAAUAACCAUUUCUUCAAAAGGUUGCUUUUAUUAAGAAGAACUAUGUCCGUCAGCCUUCACCGGUUUACUAGAACUUCAUGGACUUCCUUUCCGGCAGCGUUCGCAGUUCCAAAACCCGGAACAGGGAGUGAUAGGUCACGAUUCAUUAAAUUUUGCAGAGGUGUGUUGUUUUACCCUUAAGAGAUCUUAACCAUGGUGCCAACCGGGCAGCUUUCCCGUCCACACUUCCUUUGGUGUGAGGCCCGGUAUAAGGUCUUAGCCAAUCAUAUUCCUCCCCUACCUCGCACACCCACCCUUUGUUGCAAUUCCGACCUUGGGUUCUCGCCGGUCAGCGUAUCCAUAGGAUACCAUCCGACCUCAACUAUUAUCAGGCAUCCUGGCCCGAUACCUUCGUCGGUCGUUGCAACCCAUCAUAGACCGCAUUACCGUGGGGACUUAGGGCUCCCCAACCACUCCGCUUGUCCCUCAGGAUUCAAGUGACUAUGGUAAGCGCAUCUGUUGAUAUACAAGAGGUGGAAAUACGAUUGACUACUCCGUCCCACUCCAGAUCUUAUGGUUAACACGAGUUUUACGACACAGGAAUCACUGGACGACAUUUGUUGUUUAAUCCUAGAUGGAUAUAAACCCAUCGCAAUGUAACCUCCACCAUGUCAACACAUUCCAUGGUUCCAUUGCCAACCACAUAGUCAUAUUCAUAGUUAUGAAAGUAAUACUUUUGCUUUUCAUGCAAGAGUGAUAAGUAUAGUACUUUGCAUAAUCAGAAACAUCAGGCCGUCAAUUUACUAGCUCAGCAAACCACAACCAACGGAUUAUAUAAAUAAAUUACUGACAAAAGAAUUAAGAGAAAUUACCCACCAAUGCCAUUACUUAAUUUUCUCAUACCUCUUCAAUCUUAUUGGGUAAAUCAAGGGCCCAUGGUCAUCUUCAAAAAAUAAACAAUUAUACGUCCUCUGUGUUUUUUUAUGAAGGUUGCCUCUUCCCCAUCCUCAUGGCGCUGCCAUGUUCUCCAUGGAUGCUGAUUGGCAUAUAGACACCUAGAUCCUUCUUCAUGUGGUUGAUCUGCUUCUCUCAUAUGUGUCUUUCGGAGGCAGCCGCAGCAAGUCGGCACAACCAAUGCGGCAACCAGAUCAGCGACAAGGACCGUACGGGAAAGUAGAUUGACUUCACGGCAAGAGUGCACCGGCACCGGCAACUUCCGAUCUUGAUUUGCACCGUCAACGGCAACUUCCGAUCUCGAUUGGCGGCGCUGGCCGACCAGCGACCGCCAAUCAACAUAGAUCGUGUGGCAUCUAGAGGGUGCUCACGUAUACACCUAGUCACCAAAUCCCCUCUCAUAAGCACACACGCGUACGCACCCAUGAUCUAUGUGCAGGUAAUCAUCCAUGGACUCCCGGUUGUUUCCAUUAUGAGCUCGUAUGGGAUUUUCAAAGGUACUACUCCAUAGGCCAUAGGCCAUAGGCAAGAAUUGUGCAAACGGGUUUCAGAAGAAAAAAAAAUAGGCAAAAGCAAGCACACACUCUCACCUAACUAUGAUAUAUGCAGCCCAUACGCAAACAUGCAUGCAUCCUAAGUGAGUUAUCUAUGCUUCCCUUCUUUCAGAUUGCACGUCCCAUCAAGAUAUUUUUUUAGAAAAAGAAUAUGUGCACAUGGAUUAACUAUUAAGGUAAACAAAAUAUAAUUAUGCUGUUUGUUUUUUAUUAGGAAGAAGAGGACCAUGCAGACAAUCAGGUAUCUUACUAGGAAUCUGGGAUACUGAGGUCUGAAAUUCUGCACUCUUGUAUUUAGAGCAAUUUCAACCUAUUCUGCAUGGAGUGUGCUUGAUAUAGGAAGCAGAAGCAUGGGAAGGGGAACAUGCCAGUAGAAGGAAAGACAACUCAGCCUUGGAAUCGUGCUGUCAAUAUGGGUUAAUUUUCGAUCUAUAUAUUCUGAAUUGAAGUGUGCUUAAUGUAUAAUUAUAUUUGGUUAUCCACAGUAGUUAACCAAUGCAGAUAUUGAACAAAAUCAUGAAUCCCCAGUGUUCAGUUUUGCCAUCGACUGAUACAUACAAGUAAAUGCAAGUCACAAGAAAGUUCUUGGUGUUUUCAUUUCUCUUGACGAAAAAGAAACUUAGCCAUCAAAUUUUCAGUUCGGGAAGCAGACCAGGAUGGACCAGUACUUUGUGAAGGCCAACCACUGAUCGUAUUCUUUAGAUGCCUAAAUAAACAACUUUCUUCUUAAUCAGCUUAUGGGCCUUUCUCUUUAUGGCAAUUAAAGAAUCACGUAAGUUUUUAAUGGGUCCUUCACCAAAACUCCACAUGUAUAUUUAGUGUUAUUGGGAUCGCACAAUCUCUAAUGUACCAUGACCAUCAUUCAAUAUAUAAGCUUUCCCUUACAUAUCUCAGUAAAACAUUAAAAGAGUAAAAUAAUUUUUGUUAUGACCCACCACUCAUUUUCUGGACAUACACCCUAUGAUCCAACAUACCUCAGCGAUCAUUGAAUGAUUAGUCUUGCUUUGUAGUGUCAACUGUGUAUCAUAUAUGUACGGAAGAAAGUGUUCCCUUCCAAUCAACACCAUAUGAAGUACUUGGUCGGAUUCUACGUAGUACUCUGGUAUAUUUCCUUUCUUAGAUAAUCAUAAGUUGUUCUGUGCCCGAGAGUUGGCAAACAUAUCAUCCAUUCAUAUUUUAUAGAUCACAGACUAACGAUCGGGUUCAGGAUUUGAUUGACCGUUUUGUUGAAGUCUGUGUUGAUAGCAUCGUUGAAAGAUGGCUAAAAAGGGAAAUAGUUUAAUCUCUCGGGACGAUGAAUGUAGGGUUCAUCCUUGCAUGGCUCACACAAGAGAUCAAGAGGCGGCAACCUCUUUAGUGUGCUGAAUCAAGACUGAAGGUACGAGGUCUUUAAGCUUGAUAAAUUAUGGCCUCCACGGCAUUUCAUUUUCCAGUUUAUGGCCAGUUAUUGAAUUGGGCAUAAACAAGUUUCAGCUUAUGUCCCGAGAGCAGAAAUAGAGAAAUUGCAGCUCAAAGAUCAGUACACGUAAAUAAUCUGCUAUAAAAUUCUCUCUAUUGCAAGUUCACAUACUUUUAAAAAAAAUAGUUAACUUUGAAAAAAUAGCAUUAACAAGAGUUGUAUCUGCCUGAUCAAAACCAUUUGUGAGAUAAGUUGUUAGUUAAUAAAAAAAUCCAAUGUUGCUUAACCCCAAUUUUCUUAGAUUACUGUACAAAAAAUUGAUAAAACUUGCAAUGUUUUUGAAGAUGCCGCUGGUGCUACGGAAGGCCUUUUUUCUGGUAGUGCAAAUCAAUCAAAUGAAGCUACUCGCGCACAUUGAUGUCUUUCUUAUAAAUCAAUAUAGGUGGCUCUUUUGCAGGACAUUCUUAGCAGCAGAAAUUGGUGUCACGGCUAGAAGUGGAGAUGCACAAUCUGUUACUUUCUCAUGGAAGUAUAUACUAUUAAAUUAUUAGAUACACAGGAAUAAACAAAAAUAGUUACAUGUAAAACGAGCCUAAAUAAUAAAACACGAUUGGUAAUAGUGCUGAUUGUAGACACAUAUUGUUCAUUACUUCUCUUCUGCAAGAAUUCUAUGCUGGAUCUUAUGGUUCUCCAGCUCCAAGUGUUCUUCAUCAAAUAGGUAAAGGAAGUCGACAGGGAAGACAAAACAAGUGUGGCUUACCAAUAGGUACACUAUGACAUGAAAACAUGUCAAUGUGUUGCAUCCUAGAGCAUACACUUUAUCUGAUUAGAGACUUCAUUGUAAAAUCAUUUUUAAAUGAUUAAUAGAGCAAGAGUGUAUUUUGGAGCAGUGUUUUCACCCAAAUUACUUAACUAAUUUUACACAUAAAAACAUAUUAUACUUCCUAAUAAUAUAAUUUUGUGUUGUAAAUUUAUACUAUAUUGAUUAAAUUGAUGAUUUAUAGAUACACGCAAGGUCUAUAAACCGGUAUGGAGGGAGUACUUUCCCAGCAUUGGCACCGGUAAUGUAGAGCAAGAUGUGUGUAAAUUGAUCAACGUUACAAAAACAUUAGAAAGCAAAUUGUUCUGUCACGAAGUCUCAGUUUUGAAGCAUAUAAACCUGAAUUGUGCUUAUGUUUUCUGUUAAAGAGUACAUUUGAAAUUUACAAUAAUCAUACUGCAUACUUGAAGUUCACAAAAGCGAACUAGCUAUACUGUAUACUGAUCAAGUGAUUGAAGAUAGAGGCAAAUACAGACAACAUGAUAUUUAUAAAUGAAUAUUCUUGCCGAGAUUUACCUUAGACUUGUGCGAGUUAGUUGUGAGCAUACAUGCUAACAUAUAGUUAAUUACUAAAAGUAUUAGAUUUACUAUAUUAAGAUUCUAUAUGGAAUUGGAGCAGCAUGGGACUGAACUAUCUGGUGCCGGCAGCCAACACAUUAGUCGUUCUUGAUGGGAGAACACCAAUUAACAUCGCCCCAAUAUGCAUGUGCAGAUGUUAUUCAACUGCAGCUGAGGAAACAUUUCAGUGUUUUUGUUGCAGCAUGAUGUUCAGGGAUGGGAGCACACAAGGCCAACGGGACUAGCAAGUUGGGACGUGCCUUCUUUGCAUGAAUAAAGAUAUUGUCUUGACCAUUCUAUGCCAAUUUAUGACUCAGUGAUUAAAUUAAUUAUUAUGGUUUAUUCGUAAGAAAAACGGUGGUGCUAAUGUUAAUGCAUGCAUGAUGAUGUCAAGUAGUUCAACAACAUCAACCUUAUUUAUUGGAACAUGGGCAUCAAGUUAUCCCGGCAUCGUCAGCUUGCAUCGGAAAGAAAAAAGGGUGAAACCACUUAGCUGCCUCUGGAUAAUUUUGUUUUCUUAAAACAAUGUGAUACACAAAAUAUAAAUUGUCUCCCAUG
Lolium perenne is the source of this 5684-nucleotide non-coding RNA. NCBI's taxonomy places the organism in Eukaryota, Viridiplantae, Streptophyta, Magnoliopsida, Poales, Poaceae. The record is from RefSeq and is a predicted model, not a curated record.